This 590-nucleotide ribosomal RNA is filed under the name Penicillium javanicum. Its description in RNAcentral is "eukaryotic LSU rRNA". It matches the Rfam family "Eukaryotic large subunit ribosomal RNA", at positions 64 to 669 of the family's 3401-position model. The record is from RNAcentral. Lineage: Eukaryota; Fungi; Ascomycota; Eurotiomycetes; Eurotiales; Aspergillaceae.
ACACAGGGAAUUGCCUCAGUACGGCGAAGUGAAGCGGCAAGAGCUCAAAUUUGAAAGCUGGCCCCUUCGGGGUCCGCAUUGUAAUUUGCAGAGGAUGCUUCGGGAGCGGCCCCCAUCUAAGUGCCCUGGAACGGGCCGUCAUAGAGGGUGAGAAUCCCGUCUGGGAUGGGGUGCCCGCGCCCGUGUGAAGCUCCUUCGACGAGUCGAGUUGUUUGGGAAUGCAGCUCUAAAUGGGUGGUAAAUUUCAUCUAAAGCUAAAUACUGGCCGGAGACCGAUAGCGCACAAGUAGAGUGAUCGAAAGAUGAAAAGCACUUUGAAAAGAGAGUUAAACAGCACGUGAAAUUGUUGAAAGGGAAGCGCUUGCGACCAGACUCGCUCGCGGGGUUCAGCCGGCCUUCGGGCCGGUGUACUUCCCCGCGGGCGGGCCAGCGUCGGUUUGGGCGGCCGGUCAAAGGCCCUCGGAAUGUAACGCCCCCCGGGGCGUCUUAUAGCCGAGGGCGCCAUGCGGCCAGCCCGGACCGAGGAACGCGCUUCGGCUCGGACGCUGGCAUAAUGGUCGUAAGCGACCCGUCUUGAAAACACGGACCAA